ACAGCCAUGGAGCAAGCUAUGAUGCCUAUUCUCCUUCCUCUUCUUUUCCUUCAUCUUGCAUUUUGUGUGUGUGUGUUCAAAGGAGUGUAUUCAUUUUUUCCUUUGUUUUACUGAGAUAGAAUUCACAUACCAUACAAUUCACCUGUUUUAAAGUAUGUACUUUAAUGGUUUUACUAUAUCCACAGAGUUGCAUAACCAUCACCACAAUCAAUUUUAGAACAUUUUAUUCACCUCUAUCCUUUAGCAGUCACUCUUCAUUUUUCUCCAGCUUCAUUCCCACCCCCAACCCCAACCCUCAGAAACUACUAAUCUCCUUUCUGCUUCUAUAAAUUUGCCUACCAUGGACAUUUAAUAUAAAUGAAAUCGUACAAUGGGUAGUCUUUUGUGUCUGCUUUAUUUCACUUAGCAUAAUAUGUUUAAGAUGUGCCAAGGUAUUUACAUCUCAGCAGGGCUAGGCAGACCUGCAGUCUAAGUGUUAGGAGCAUUAGCAUUAGUCCAUUUAUCUAAACUACUGAAAUUUUUCCUUCUGCUCACCAAAGACUUCAAAGAAAUUUAAUAAAGGUAUUUUUUCUGCCUAAAUAUAUACUUUGGCAAUUUGAUUUUGUUUUAAAGUAGGAUAAUUACAUUUUCUCCAUCCAUUCUGUGAAUCACAGCUCCCUUGUGAAUUCCUUUGAAAACCCUGAUGAGGAAUGGAAGAUGUUUAGGAGAGUUGGGAGUGGACCUGGGAAAUAUAAUUCCAAGACGCAUUAGAGAUAAAUGGACAAAGACAGUUUAC
Molecule: long non-coding RNA, 775 nt
Filed under: Homo sapiens (human)
Lineage: Eukaryota; Metazoa; Chordata; Mammalia; Primates; Hominidae
Description: HSALNT0337713
Source: RNAcentral